GUAGGGAAUUUUCCACAAUGGGCGAAAGCCUGAUGGAGCAACGCCGCGUGCAGGAUGAAGGCCUUUGGGUCGUAAACUGCUUUUAUCUGUGACGAUUUUGACGGUAGCAGAUGAAUAAGGAUCGGCUAACUCCGUGCCAGCAGCCGCGGUCAUACGGAGGAUCCAAGCGUUAUCCGGAAUUACUGGGCGUAAAGAGUUGCGUAGGUGGCAUAACAAGUAGAGCGUGAAAGCGUGUGGCUCAACCAUAUACACAUGUUCUAAACUGUUAAGCUAGAGUAUAAGAGAGGUAGCUGGAAUUCCUAGUGUAGGAGUGAAAUCCGUAGAUAUUAGGAGGAACACCAAUGGCGUAGGCAGGCUACUGGCUUAUUACUGACACUAAGGCACGAAAGCGUGGGGAGCGAACGGGAUUAGAUACCCGUGUAGUCC
This 426-nucleotide ribosomal RNA is filed under the name uncultured bacterium. RNAcentral's name for it is "bacterial SSU rRNA". It matches the Rfam family "Bacterial small subunit ribosomal RNA", at positions 354 to 796 of the family's 1533-position model. The record is from RNAcentral.